Molecule: ribosomal RNA, 691 nt
Filed under: uncultured bacterium
Lineage: Bacteria
Description: bacterial SSU rRNA
Rfam family: Bacterial small subunit ribosomal RNA
Source: RNAcentral
ACACAUGCAAGUCGAACGAGAGGACAAGAGAAGCUUGCUUCUUUUGGAAUCGAGUGGCAAACGGGUGAGUAACACGUAAACAACCUGCCUUCAGGAUGGGGACAACAGACGGAAACGACUGCUAAUACCGAAUACGCUUGGGAGACCGCAUGAUCUUCCAAGGAAAGGGUGGCCUCUACCUGUAAGCUAUCGCCUGAAGAGGGGUUUGCGUCUGAUUAGGCAGUUGGCGAGGUAACGGCCCACCAAACCUACGAUCAGUAGCCGGUCUGAGAGGAUGAACGGCCACACUGGAACUGAGACACGGUCCAGACUCCUACGGGAGGCAGCAGUGGGGAAUCUUCCGCAAUGGGCGAAAGCCUGACGGAGCAACGCCGCGUGAGUGAUGACGGCCUUCGGGUUGUAAAGCUCUGUGAUCGGGGACGAACGGUCCGUAAGUCAAUACCUUAUGGAAGUGACGGUACCCGAAUAGCAAGCCACGGCUAACUACGUGCCAGCAGCCGCGGUAAUACGUAGGUGGCAAGCGUUGUCCGGAAUUAUUGGGCGUAAAGCGCGCGCAGGCGGCUUUCUAAGUCCAUCUUAAAAGUGCGGGGCUUAACCCCGUGAUGGGAUGGAAACUGGAAAGCUGGAGUAUCGGAGAGGAAAGUGGAAUUCCUAGUGUAGCGGUGAAAUGCGUAGAGAUUAGGAAGAACAC